AAAACCUCAAGAUUUUUUUUUUUUUAAAUCUCUACAAUUCUGUUGUUUUUGGGUUUUUUUGCUGGAGGUUUUCUGCUGGAGGUGUCUGUGUACCACUGUGUGCUGUGCAUGCCUGUGCAUUGUGUGCUGAACAGUGCCUGUGAGCAUGUUCAGGUUUCUUGUUUUCUUCCAGAUCUCCCUCAGCUCUAUCCCUCUUUGCUGAGCUCUGCCAUAUAGCCAGCUCUGUUUAAUGCGGUUGACUUCAGCAGAGCUGGGCAUGAAUCUAAAUUCUUAAGAAAUAUUUCCAGGUGAUUUAUGUGUAUUUGGAAAGGUGUCAUUGAUUUCUCAACAUGAAAGCAAUGCCACAACACUAACACUAUUGUCAGGCAGUCUAACACUUCUUUAAAAGAACUGCUGUUAUUUGGUUGUGUACAGAAGACAGAACAGAGGUUCUGUUGUAGGAAAGUCUCAAGAUUAUGAGCUGGCAAGAAGAUGAGGUAAUUGUACACAUGGCACUGAAUGCACUAUCUAGGUAUUUUAAUUGCAGUCGGACCACACGGCCCACAGCCAGCUCCAGUAAGACCUCAUGUGUGAUCCUCUGCUUCCCACUGCCAAAGAAAACAUCAGUAUUCACAACCAUUAGAGGCCUUUAGAAGUAAGCAAAAUUAAUUUGGGAAGGAGCUUUCUGAGCUUUCACAGGCACCAUUUUAUAGAGACAUGGGUCUCCCAGCUUACAGUCUUCCACUAUCUUGGGGUCUUUCAGGGCAUUUCUUCCUUUCCACAUGACAUCCCCAACAGCAGAGGUUUCCCAUGUCCUGCUGCCAGGGGUAGCAUUUUACACUGGGAAUGCAUUUGAGUUUUUCCACAUGUGAUAAAAACAAAUGGAGAAUUUUAUCUCUAGGAGAAAUAAGUGACUGUUACACUUACUUGCAAGUGCUUUUCUUGGAAAGUCCAAUCGUUCAUGCUCACAUACUUCAGUUUAACAUGACUGUUAGAUUAAUUGAGCUAUUGAGUAUGUCUGGUCACAAAGUAUGUUCUAACUAUUUUCAGAAAGCCCUGGGCAGGCUGGCAGGGCCUAGGAGUGCGACCAGAUGUACUGCCAUAAAGACUGUUGGGUCUUACAAGAGAAAUAAUCUACUUGUCUGGAAAUGCCUCAAGGAACGAUGAGCAGAAAAGACACAGAAUAACUGGGAAAUGAUUUUGAAAGCAAUACUUGCAGGCCAAUUGCUCAGAGCCAAUGCCAGAAAAUAAGGCAAGACUUCUUUUAUUAAACAUGAUUGCUGUGACCUUCUCUGGUUAACCUACAGAAGGAAAAAUGAGCUGUGCACUGUGUAUGAUUUGUUGUUAUUACAGCUGGGCUGUUUUUCAGUGAACUCGUAGAAGCUGGAAUGUUUAUUUUGAUUUACUUUCAGUUUAUUUCUUUUUUUGUUUUUCAAAAAAGCAGAAGCAAAUGAAACGUCUUCUAGCAUACAUGUAGCCUUCUCUGAGCACUGUGGCUGCAACCCCCUCUUCUCAGCUCCUUUCUAUCUGCAAGCAUCACGGCCAUGCCGGAUCCUACCUCCCUCCUUCCAGGGGCACUGAGUGCUGUUCUCCUGAGAGCAGGGCUUGCAGCUGCACUGACCCUUGGGCGAAGGCUGGCAGGGUGAACUUCCUCUUCUUUGUCCUCUCCUGGGGCAAGCACCGAUAAUGUUCCCUGGAGAUCACAUAAAUGAGAUGAGGACAGCAAGUUAAUGUAUUUAUGCACAGCAGAGUCAAGAGGGCCCCACUGUGAGAUGCACACUAGCAUAGUUCCAGGCAUACUGCAGGGACACAGAUCAGAGAUAAGACCAGAGGGACAAGGAAAGUUCAACAGUGUGUGUGCUUCUGUAUUCUUGUCAGCCUGAAGUGCUGUGCAGAGGCACAGUAAUGUAUGCAGUGGAAUCAAGAAUGUAAGAAAGCCCCCACAGACCUAGUGAGCUAAUUGUGGCUUAGGUCAUUUUCUAUAUGCUUUCCAAGAUGUCUGCCUAUACUUAAUUAAAAUGCCUAAUCCAUCUCAUUUAGCCUGGAAGGUAAUGGAGGAGGGAAGUUAUUAGUCUGGUGUCUGGGAUAUUGGCAGUGCUGAUUUUUUCAUGGAUUGGAAUUCAACAGGCUUUCAUUUUCUGAAAAAUAAAGUCAUCAAUAAGACCUAAUCA
This 2150-nucleotide long non-coding RNA is filed under the name Phasianus colchicus (ring-necked pheasant). Its description in RNAcentral is "lncRNA (ENSPCLG00000021031.1)". Lineage: Eukaryota; Metazoa; Chordata; Aves; Galliformes; Phasianidae. The record is from RNAcentral.